CAGUCGCCGCGGGAAUACGUAGGUGGCAAGCGUUGUCCGGAAUUAUUGGGCGUAAAGCGCGCGCAGGCGGGUCAGUUAGUCUGUCUUAAAAGUUCGGGGCUUAACCCCGUGAGGGGAUGGAAACUGCUGAUCUAGAGUAUCGGAGAGGAAAGUGGAAUUCCUAGUGUAGCGGUGAAAUGCGUAGAUAUUAGGAAGAACACCAGUGGCGAAGGCGGCUUUCUGGACGAAAACUGACGCUGAGGCGCGAAAGCCAGGGGAGCGAACGGGAUUAGAUACCCCAGUAGUCCCUGUCUCUUAUACC
RNAcentral lists this ribosomal RNA (301 nucleotides) under uncultured bacterium. Its description in RNAcentral is "partial 16S ribosomal RNA". It matches the Rfam family "Bacterial small subunit ribosomal RNA", at positions 509 to 808 of the family's 1533-position model. The record is from RNAcentral.